Molecule: non-coding RNA, 214 nt
Organism: Pelobates cultripes (western spadefoot toad)
Lineage: Eukaryota; Metazoa; Chordata; Amphibia; Anura; Pelobatidae
Source: the annotation of a GenBank genome assembly
UGAAAAAUAAACAAAACAAAAUUCCUUGCUCUUGCUUGAGCACUUACUAUACACAGCAAAUCCCUAUCUGGAAUUGGGUGGCUUUCCCACUUGCCAAUUUACAAAAAGUAUAACUGCAAGACACCAUUCCUCUGGCUUUUCCUCCUCACUCUGCAGCAUGCUGAUCCCUUCUUUUUAAAAGCCUGCUAGCUAAUUGAUCAGAUAUAGGUGAGGU